RNAcentral lists this ribosomal RNA (492 nucleotides) under uncultured bacterium. Its description in RNAcentral is "partial 16S ribosomal RNA". It matches the Rfam family "Bacterial small subunit ribosomal RNA", at positions 28 to 507 of the family's 1533-position model. The record is from RNAcentral.
GACGAACGCUGGCGGCGUGCUUAACACAUGCAAGUCGAACGGAAAGGCCCCCACUUUUUUGGUGGGGGUGCUCGAGUGGCGAACGGGUGAGUAACACGUGGGUGAUCUGCCCUGUACUUCGGGAUAAGCUUGGGAAACUGGGUCUAAUACCGGAUAGGACCAUGGUUUAGUGUCUCAUGGUGGAAAAAUUAUUGUUUUGGUGCAGGAUGAGCUCGCGGCCUAUCAGCUUGUUGGUGGGGUAAUGGCCUACCAAGGCGUCGACGGGUAGCCGGCCUGAGAGGGUGGACGGCCAGAUUGGGACUGAGAUACGGCCCAGACUCCUACGGGAGGCAGCAGUGGGGAAUAUUGCACAAUGGGCGCAAGCCUGAUGCAGCGACGCCGCGUGGGGGAUGACGGCCCUCGGGUUGUAAACUCCUUUCGUUAGGGACGAAGCCGCACCUUUUUUGGGUGUGGUGACGGUACCUUUGUUAAGAAGCACCGGCUAACUACGUG